CGGGUGGAAACAUACCUUAUUGUUGCCUCGGCGGAUCAGCCCGCUCCCCGUAAAACGGGACGGCCCGCCAGAGGACCCAAACUCUAUUGUAUUUAGUGUAUCUUCUGAGUAACACAAACAAAUAAAUCAAAACUUUCAACAACGGAUCUCUUGGUUCUGGCAUCGAUGAAGAACGCAGCAAAAUGCGAUAAGUAAUGUGAAUUGCAGAAUUCAGUGAAUCAUCGAAUCUUUGAACGCACAUUGCGCCCGCCAGUAUUCUGGCGGGCAUGCCUGUUCGAGCGUCAUUUCAACCCUCAAACCCCCGGGUUUGGUGUUGGGGAUCGGAUUGCUAGUCAAUCCGUCUCCGAAAUCUAGUGGCGGUCUCGCUGCAGCCUCCAUUGCGUAGUAGCUAACACCUCGCAACUGGAACGCGGCGCGGCCAUGCCGUUAAACACCCAACUUCUGAAUGUUGACCUCGGAUCAGGUAGGAAUACCCGCUGAACUUAAGCAUAUCAAUAAGGCGGAGGAA
RNAcentral lists this ribosomal RNA (508 nucleotides) under fungal sp. RNAcentral describes it as "eukaryotic LSU rRNA". The stretch from base 131 to 284 matches the Rfam family "5.8S ribosomal RNA". The record is from RNAcentral. Lineage: Eukaryota; Fungi.